This 406-nucleotide ribosomal RNA is filed under the name uncultured Propionibacteriaceae bacterium. Its description in RNAcentral is "bacterial SSU rRNA". It matches the Rfam family "Bacterial small subunit ribosomal RNA", at positions 356 to 774 of the family's 1533-position model. The record is from RNAcentral. Lineage: Bacteria; Bacillati; Actinomycetota; Actinomycetes; Propionibacteriales; Propionibacteriaceae.
GGGGAAUAUUGCGCAAUGGGCGAAAGCCUGACGCAGCAACGCCGCGUGCGGGAUGAAGGCCUUCGGGUUGUAAACCGCUUUCAGCAGGGACGAAGGUUUUCUGACGGUACCUGCAGAAGAAGCACCGGCUAACUACGUGCCAGCAGCCGCGGUGAUACGUAGGGUGCGAGCGUUGUCCGGAAUUAUUGGGCGUAAAGAGCUUGUAGGCGGUCUGUUGCGUCGGAAGUGAAAACUCAGGGCUUAACCCUGAGCCUGCUUUCGAUACGGGCAGACUUGAGGGAUGUAGGGGAGAACGGAAUUCCUGGUGGAGCGGUGGAAUGCGCAGAUAUCAGGAGGAACACCAGUGGCGAAGGCGACCUGCUGGAACAUUACUGACGCUGAGGUGCGAAAGCGUGGGGAGCAAACA